Molecule: long non-coding RNA, 705 nt
Filed under: Rhinopithecus bieti (black snub-nosed monkey)
Lineage: Eukaryota; Metazoa; Chordata; Mammalia; Primates; Cercopithecidae
Description: lncRNA (ENSRBIG00000046094.1)
Source: RNAcentral
ACUUAUCAUAAGCCCAUGGAUUCAUAAUAAUCUGUUUCUUUUUGCCCUUCUCCCUCCUUUUUAGAACUUUGUAGACAGGACCUGGAACAGAAGAGGUGCUUUAUAAAGGUCUUCUGAGUGUAUAAAUAAAUGGAUGGCUGAAUGCUGUUUUGAGCGUUAAGCCCCACCAACCCAAACAAGAAAGUCCCUUAUGUCCUUUCAGAGUUCCUUUGUACAAAUCUAAGCCAGAAAAGAAAAUGCUGAUACAGGGCCUUAGCUGACAGCACCCAGAAUACUCUACUGGCUAUUUCUGAGAGCACUAAGGAGAAAGAAGCAGCUCACACACGUGCAAGGACAAGUUCACUCAUGCUUGCUUUAGACCUGACCAAACUACUUGCUGGGCAUCUGGGAGAAUUGCGGCCUGUCUGCCAGUGCUGUGUGCUGCAUUCCCUCCUGCUGUUUCACUGGGCCCAGACCUUCUCCCCUGGAAGACUUCCUGAGUCCUCAGGGCAUCUUGGCUGCACUGAGACCUAUGCGAAGUAUUGGUGGUGGUUCUGGCCACAGUUCUUCCUCCCUUCAUCUUAACUGAAACAAAUAAGCAAUCAAUCAAAUAAAUUUCUGUGCCGCAGGAAGAACAGAUACUGCAGCUCUCCUCCACUGGCAUCAUCUCUCCUCUAGUGCUCUUUGGAAAAAACAAACCGACAAAGCUUUUUUCCUUUUACCAAA